This 1860-nucleotide unclassified non-coding RNA is filed under the name Hevea brasiliensis (rubber tree). Lineage: Eukaryota; Viridiplantae; Streptophyta; Magnoliopsida; Malpighiales; Euphorbiaceae. The record is from RNAcentral.
UUUUUUUUUUUUUUUUCAUUCCAAACCCAAAAAUUUGAAUUUGUAAAUGAGUUUUACAAAAUUUUUUUUGUGGAAUUCAUUCAUUCCAUAGUGUAAAGCUCUACUACUGUUAUUUCUCCUUGCCUUGGCAUGGACAGCGCCUAACCCCCAAGCAGCAUGCAACCUCCAAAGGAAUCAAUCUUGAGGAAAUUGAGGGUGGGAGGGGCAAUGAAGAGUAAAGGACAAGAAAAAAAAUGGCUACUUUCUUUGUGUUAGCAUUUAGAGAAGAAAAUUGGGAUGAGUAAAUCCAAAUCGAAGAACAAAGAAAUUCGUAAAUAAGAAAUCAUAGAAGAGAGGAAGUGAGCACCUGUCGUGCCUUAGGAUCAAAAGGAAGAGGAAGGGGAUGAAGCAACAAAUGAAAGAGAGAAAAUAGGCUAUGUUGUUUUUUUGCAGAGGGAGGGGUGAGGGAGGGAGUGAGAGUGAAUUGUUUAGAGGGAGAAAUGCUUAGAGAGAGUGCCAAAUCUACGUUUCAAUGAGUUCUAAUAAAAACAACAUAAAAGUGCUACAUAAGAUCUUGGCUGGAGUGCAUACUGGAAUCUGGCAAGAGGGAUAUUCGGUAAGAUUAAGUGAAGGUUUAGGGAUUUUUUUGAUGAUAAAUUGAUAUUGAGGGUCCGUAAAGGUUUACCCCUAUGCGUGGAUCCAAAAUUAGGUAUGAUCAUCAACCAAUUUUGUUUUGUGUUUUAAGCUUUCGUGUUCUAAUACAAUUUAAUGUUUACUCAACAGUGAUACCUUUGAUCGCAUAUGCCAAAUAUUAUGUUAUGCAUUGAAUGAUUGUCAGAUUUUUAAUUCAUUUGAUUUUUGAUGUGCUGCUGUGGGGACUGGUUCAAGUUGUAAAAGUUAGUAAUUGGAUGGGGUCAGAUGAUCAUGGGUUUAGUUUUGUAUAGAAAAGGAUCAACCCAUGUUUUGGCCUUAAACUUUAUGCACUUGUAAUAUUGAGCUCUCAAGGUGAAGCUUUUCGCUAUUGGCUCGCUGUACAAUUAAAUUUAGUUGUGUAGAGGCUCGUUCACCAGACAGUAGAUUUGUACAGGAGUAAAAUAUGACCAACUCAAAUAGCACAGGGGCUCACUACCAAAUGAUUUCACUUGAAGGACUUGAGAUGCAGAAGUGUGUGAAGUUCAAGGGCCAGAUAUAAGUUAAACCUAUAGAAAACAAAUACAUGAUGGAUAUUUGAAUAUAUCUAAUUGUUCCCUCCCUAAACCUUUUUUCUAUGCAUUUCAGUUUUCGACUAAUUUUGAAUAUUACUUCCUUUUUCAUCAUUUGGUUCUCUGCGGUGGCAAGAAGAGGAAAUAAGAGAUGUCCAGAAGCAGCUAAAAAUGAAGUAUCAUAACUAGUGCAGUUACUGAAACAUCUCAUGUUUUGGUAAGCAAAUUUCAGGAUUAUUAAUAAAAGAAAAUAUGAUCUCUUGACAAUUCUCAUUUCACUUGCUCCUUUUUGCUUCACUAUCAAUGAAAUCAUUUCUGCAGAACAAAAACAUUCCAUCCUUUUUUGCCCUGAAGUGUGCUCUUUUGUUUGUGAAAUGUGGAGGGGCAUGCAAGGGGAGUUUCAUGUUUUUGAAAACUUUAAAAUGAUGUCACUCAUAAGGAGAAAGUGUAAAUAGUAGGAACUUCAGAAGGAUAAAUUAAUUUUAAUGUAAAUCGUUUCGACGAUAUCGUUCCUGCGUGUUGGGUACAUUCUUGCUCCACAGUUAGAAAAGAAUUUCACAUCUUGCUUUAUGGUGAACGCUCUUGCUCAAAUUAUAUAAAUUGCAGCCUUUUCUGGUCAUUUUCUUACUAGCCAAUCCAUUUUUUCUCGUAUGCCUGGUAUAUAUGGGAAGAGUGUUUA